CAAUAGCGUAUAUUAAAGUUGUUGCAGUUAGAACGCUCGUAGUCGGAUUUCGGGGCGGGGCGACCGGUCUGCCGAUGGGUAUGCACUGGUCGGCGCGUCCUUCCUUCCGGAGACCGUUCCUACUCUUAACUGAGCGGGGGCGGGAGACGGAUCGUUUACUUUGAAAAAAUCAGAGUGUUUCAAGCAGGCAGCUCGCUCUUGCAUGGAUUAGCAUGGGAUAAUGAAAUAGGACUUUGGUGCUAUUUUGUUGGUUUCGAACACCGAAGUAAUGAUUAAAAGGGACAGUCAGGGGCACUCGUAUUCCGCCGAGAGAGGUGAAAUUCUCAGACCAGCGGAAGACGAACUACUGCGAAAGCAUUUGCCAGGGAUGUUUUCACUGA
RNAcentral lists this ribosomal RNA (380 nucleotides) under uncultured eukaryote. Its description in RNAcentral is "partial 18S ribosomal RNA". It matches the Rfam family "Eukaryotic small subunit ribosomal RNA", at positions 592 to 976 of the family's 1831-position model. The record is from RNAcentral.